AACUUUCGGCAAUGGAUCUCGUGGCUCUCGCAUCGAUGAAGAACGCAGCGAAAUGCGAUACGUAAUGUGAAUUGCAGAAUUCAGUGAAUCAUCGAAUCUUUGAACGCACCUUGCGCUCCUUGGUAUUCCGAGGAGCAUGCCUGUUUGAGUGUCAUUAAUAUAUAUAUCAAACUUCUCUUGUUGAGUGGUUUGGAUGUGGGGGUUUGCUGGUCUCUUAAAAGAGUUCAGCUCCCCUGAAAUGCAUUAGCAGAACAAACCUGUUCAUUGGUGUGAUAACUAUCUACGCUAUUGAAUGUGAGGGGCAGUUCAGCUUUCUAACAGUCCUUGGACAAUUCAUCAUUAAUGUGACCUCAAAUCAGGUAGGACUACCCGCUGAACUUAAGCAUAUCAAUAAGCGGAGGCU
This 403-nucleotide unclassified non-coding RNA is filed under the name uncultured Cortinarius. RNAcentral's name for it is "sequence contains ITS2". The stretch from base 1 to 154 matches the Rfam family "5.8S ribosomal RNA". The record is from RNAcentral. Lineage: Eukaryota; Fungi; Basidiomycota; Agaricomycetes; Agaricales; Cortinariaceae.